Molecule: ribosomal RNA, 506 nt
Filed under: uncultured Geomyces
Lineage: Eukaryota; Fungi; Ascomycota; Leotiomycetes; Myxotrichaceae
Description: eukaryotic LSU rRNA
Rfam family: Eukaryotic large subunit ribosomal RNA
Source: RNAcentral
GCGAGUGAAGCGGUAACAGCUCAAAUUUGAAAUCUGGCCUCACGGUCCGAGUUGUAAUUUGUAGAGGAUGCUUCGAGCAUGGUCUGGCCUAAGUUCCUUGGAACAGGACGUCAUAGAGGGUGAGAAUCCCGUAUGCGGCCAGGUGCCUACGCUCAUGUGAAGCUCCUUCGACGAGUCGAGUUGUUUGGGAAUGCAGCUCAAAAUGGGUGGUAAAUUUCAUCUAAAGCUAAAUAUUGGCCAGAGACCGAUAGCGCACAAGUAGAGUGAUCGAAAGAUGAAAAGCACUUUGGAAAGAGAGUUAAACAGUACGUGAAAUUGUUGAAAGGGAAGCGCUUGCAACCAGACUUGCGCGCGGCCGAUCAUCCGGUGUUCUCACCGGUGCACUCGGCCGUGCUCAGGCCAGCAUCGGUUUUGGCGGCUGGAUAAAGGCCCUAGGAAUGUAGCUCCUCUCGGGGAGUGUUAUAGUCUAGGGUGCAAUGCAGCCUGCUGGGACCGAGGACCGCGCU